Molecule: long non-coding RNA, 669 nt
Organism: Gadus morhua (Atlantic cod)
Lineage: Eukaryota; Metazoa; Chordata; Actinopteri; Gadiformes; Gadidae
Exons: 2
Source: RefSeq, a predicted model, not a curated record
CCGAACUAAAAGUUAACUUUCCACUAGUACACUUUCAUAACCCUGAUAUUGUCAUACAGUACCGGCAAUGAACACAUUCCAAUACUGGAGAUCCAAAGCAGCUGCCUUCCUUAUCUGGUGUGUCCUACAUCCUCAGCAAGUGUCAUCAUGGUGCAAGUAGAGGACAUGCUGGACGAGCGCUCGUAAACACUGUUGUUGUUAUCCCACAUUCCUGACACAAACAGUGUUUGUGGAUCUGCCGACCAUCCAAAAGCCUUGGCUAGCGACGGACACAGGGCCAGUAUUAGCUGUUGAAAGACCAGGUGGAAUUUCCUACGGAAGCUGCGGUUUAUCCAAAAGUAGAAGAUGCAGUUGAGAAAACCAUUGGAGGUGGGCAGCCAUACCACAACAAACUCUAGCCACUCUGGUACGCUGUUACCCGAGACGGCUAUGGAUGGAAGGAAACAACAGUGUCAACUCAUAAUUUGGCCUCCCACAGACAAUUGGUUGGAACAGGUGCAUCAGAGCAGCCCUCAUAUGUCUGGCUAGCCAAUGAGCCCAUUACAUCCCAACAAUAAACUAGCAGGCAACAGGACAUGAUAAAUGAUUGCAUUUAUAAUAACAAAACUGUCAGUUUGAAAAGUAACAUUUAAAAACAGUUUUGGAUUCAUUAAAAAACAUGAAAUAGAC